GACUUGUUAGCUCAGCUGGCAGAGCAACUGACUCUUAAUCAGUGGGUCCAGGGUUCGAUUCCCUGACAGGUCA
Molecule: transfer RNA, 73 nt
Filed under: Dielma fastidiosa
Lineage: Bacteria; Bacillati; Bacillota; Erysipelotrichia; Erysipelotrichales; Erysipelotrichaceae
Description: Clostridiaceae bacterium JC13 tRNA
Rfam family: tRNA
About the family: Transfer RNA (tRNA) molecules are approximately 80 nucleotides in length. Their secondary structure includes four short double-helical elements and three loops (D, anti-codon, and T loops).
Source: Rfam by way of RNAcentral